Sphaeramia orbicularis (orbiculate cardinalfish) is the source of this 191-nucleotide long non-coding RNA. RefSeq lists it as uncharacterized. NCBI's taxonomy places the organism in Eukaryota, Metazoa, Chordata, Actinopteri, Kurtiformes, Apogonidae. The record is from RefSeq and is a predicted model, not a curated record. The transcript is spliced from 2 exons.
CUUUGGCCUAUAUUGUCAUGCUUUAUAAUCUGAUACUAGUCAGCAAAACUGGUACCAAAUGAAAGACCAUGUCUGACUUCCUAUAAGUCAAUAAUACAAAGUUAGUCGACAUCCGUCUCAGUUUUCAAGAUAGAAGCCGUUUUGGGGAUAUGCAAAUUAAGUACUUGAGCCCUGGUCACUUUAGAUGACAA